Molecule: ribosomal RNA, 303 nt
Filed under: uncultured bacterium
Lineage: Bacteria
Description: partial 16S ribosomal RNA
Rfam family: Bacterial small subunit ribosomal RNA
Source: RNAcentral
AGCAGCAGCCGCGGGAAUACGUAGGUCCCGAGCGUUGUCCGGAUUUAUUGGGCGUAAAGCGAGCGCAGGCGGUUAGAUAAGUCUGAAGUUAAAGGCUGUGGCUUAACCAUAGUACGCUUUGGAAGCUGUUUAACUUGAGUGCAAGAGGGGAGAGUGGAAUUCCAUGUGUAGCGGUGAAAUGCGUAGAUAUAUGGAGGAACACCGGUGGCGAAAGCGGCUCUCUGGCUUGUAACUGACGCUGAGGCUCGAAAGCGUGGGGAGCAAACAGGAUUAGAUACCCCCGUAGUCCCUGUCUCUUAUACC